RNAcentral lists this ribosomal RNA (253 nucleotides) under uncultured bacterium. RNAcentral's name for it is "partial 16S ribosomal RNA". It matches the Rfam family "Bacterial small subunit ribosomal RNA", at positions 524 to 776 of the family's 1533-position model. The record is from RNAcentral.
UACGUAGGGACCAAGCGUUGUUCGGAUUUACUGGGCGUAAAGGGCGCGUAGGCGGCGCGGUAAGUCACUUGUGAAAUCUCUGAGCUUAACUCAGAACGGCCAAGUGAUACUGCAGUGCUAGAGUGUGGAAGGGGCAAUCGGAAUUCUUGGUGUAGCGGUGAAAUGCGUAGAUAUCAAGAGGAACACCUGCGGCGAAGGCGGGUUGCUGGGCUGACACUGACGCUGAGGCGCGAAAGCCAGGGGAGCGAACGGG